UACGAAGGGGGCUAGCGUUGCUCGGAAUUACUGGGCGUAAAGCGCACGUAGGCGGCUUUGUAAGUAAGAGGUGAAAGCCCAGAGCUCAACUCUGGAAUUGCCUUUUAGACUGCAUCGCUUGAAUCAUGGAGAGGUCAGUGGAAUUCCGAGUGUAGAGGUGAAAUUCGUAGAUAUUCGGAAGAACACCAGUGGCGAAGGCGGCUGACUGG
RNAcentral lists this ribosomal RNA (209 nucleotides) under uncultured bacterium. RNAcentral describes it as "partial 16S ribosomal RNA". It matches the Rfam family "Bacterial small subunit ribosomal RNA", at positions 524 to 732 of the family's 1533-position model. The record is from RNAcentral.